RNAcentral lists this ribosomal RNA (694 nucleotides) under uncultured Lactococcus sp. RNAcentral's name for it is "bacterial SSU rRNA". It matches the Rfam family "Bacterial small subunit ribosomal RNA", at positions 1 to 704 of the family's 1533-position model. The record is from RNAcentral. Lineage: Bacteria; Bacillati; Bacillota; Bacilli; Lactobacillales; Streptococcaceae.
CGCCCUUAGAGUUUGAUCAUGGCUCAGGACGAACGCUGGCGGCGUGCCUAAUACAUGCAAGUUGAGCGUUGGUACUUGUACCGAGAGCAGCGAACGGGUGAGUAACGCGUGGGGAAUCUGCCUUUGAGCGGGGGACAACAUUUGGAAACGAAUGCUAAUACCGCAUAAAAACUUAACACAAGUUUAAGUUGAAAGAUGAUUGCAUCACUCAAAGAUGAUCCCGCGUUGUAUUAGCUAGUUGGUGAGGUAAAGGCUCACCAAGGCGAUGAUACAUAGCCGACCUGAGAGGGUGAUCGGCCACAUUGGGACUGAGACACGGCCCAAACUCCUACGGGAGGCAGCAGUAGGGAAUCUUCGGCAAUGGACGAAAGUCUGACCGAGCAACGCCGCGUGAGUGAAGAAGGUUUUCGGAUCGUAAAACUCUGUUGGUAGAGAAGAACGUUGGUGAGGAAACUCAUCAAGUGACGGUAACUACCCAGAAAGGGACGGCUAACUACGUGCCAGCAGCCGCGGUAAUACGUAGGUCCCGAGCGUUGUCCGGAUUUAUUGGGCGUAAAGCGAGCGCAGUGGUUUAUUAAGUCUGGUGUAAAAGGCAGUGGCUCAACCAUUGUAUGCAUUGGAAACUGGUAGACUUGAGUGCAGAGAGGAGAGUGGAAUUCCAUGUGUAGCGGUGAAAUGCGUAGAUAUAUGGAGG